This 71-nucleotide transfer RNA is filed under the name Candidatus Curtissbacteria bacterium. RNAcentral describes it as "tRNA-Thr". It matches the Rfam family "tRNA". From Rfam's summary of the family: Transfer RNA (tRNA) molecules are approximately 80 nucleotides in length. Their secondary structure includes four short double-helical elements and three loops (D, anti-codon, and T loops). Further hydrogen bonds mediate the characteristic L-shaped molecular structure. tRNAs have two regions of fundamental functional importance: the anti-codon, which is responsible for specific mRNA codon recognition, and the 3' end, to which the tRNAs corresponding amino acid is attached (by aminoacyl-tRNA synthetases). tRNAs cope with the degeneracy of the genetic code in two manners: having more than one tRNA (with a specific anti-codon) for a particular amino acid; and 'wobble' base-pairing, i.e. permitting non-standard base-pairing at the 3rd anti-codon position. The record is from RNAcentral. Lineage: Bacteria; Candidatus Curtissiibacteriota.
GCCUGGAUAGUUCAGUGGCAGAACACGUCAUUGGUAAUGACGGAACGCGAGUUCAAUUCUCGCUCUAGGCU